This 395-nucleotide unclassified non-coding RNA is filed under the name soil metagenome. Its description in RNAcentral is "partial contains 5.8S ribosomal RNA, internal transcribed spacer 2, and large subunit ribosomal RNA". The stretch from base 1 to 122 matches the Rfam family "5.8S ribosomal RNA", at positions 35 to 154 of the family's 154-position model. The record is from RNAcentral.
GAUGAAGAACGCAGCGAAAUGCGAUACUUGGUGUGAAUUGCAGAAUCCCGUGAACCAUCGAGUCUUUGAACGCAAGUUGCGCCCGAAGCCAUCAGGUUGAGGGCACGUCUGCCUGGGCGUCACAUAUCGUUGCCCAAUGCCUAUUGCAGUGCAAUAGGAAUUUCUAGGGCGAAUGAUGGCUUCCCGUGAGCGUUGUUGCCUAGCGGUUGGUUGAAAAUCGAGUCCUUGGUAGGGUGUGCCAUGGUAGAUGGUGGUCGAGUUAGAACGAUACCGAUCAUGUGCAUGCUCCCCAAAAUAUGGCCUCUAUGACCCACACGCGUCUUUUGACGCUCAUGACGAGACCUCAGGUCAGGCGGGGCUACCCGCUGAAUUUAAGCAUAUCAAUAAGCGGAGGA